Molecule: long non-coding RNA, 1395 nt
Filed under: Monodelphis domestica (gray short-tailed opossum)
Lineage: Eukaryota; Metazoa; Chordata; Mammalia; Didelphimorphia; Didelphidae
Description: lncRNA (ENSMODG00000038080.1)
Source: RNAcentral
CUGCCCCAGCGAAUUAGGAAGAGGACUCCAUUGGGGUGAACAGCAUCAAAAAUGUGCAUCUCCUAAAGCCCGGGGUUUUAGGGGAAAGCUGCUUGGCUAGGUUGGAUGUGGGUUCCUAUUUUUGUUUUCAAAAUUGGCGGAAGGGGUAAUGCGGCGUGGUGGAAGGGUACCGGGGUUCUAGACUUGGCUCAGACGCUAACUUGUCCUGUGCCCCGGGGCAAACGCUGAGCUCCCCAUCUGUAAAACAAACCGAACCAGACGGUCGUUAACGCUCUUUUUUAACGCUCUUUCUGGGUCGAACAUUGGAUGUUCUAAGUCCCUUCCUGCUCUCACAUCCAACAUUCUAAGCUCCCUUCCCUCCUUCCAGUGUAGCCACGAAGCAGCCUAUGUAGCGGUCAGAGUGCUAGAGGACCUAGGUUUAAAUCCUCAUUCAGAUUUUACUACCUGGGACCACAGACAAUUUCCGAAGCUUUCAGAGCCUCAUCUGUAAAAUGGGGGUCACCUCCAACUUGAUUAUCCCAAGUCCCAGACAUAAAACCAUCUUCUUGCUUCAGUCAUCACCAUCAGCCAAAGACCUUCAGCCAAGUCCAGCAGUUGGCUCUUGCUUCCAACUGUUUCCCAGUCACAUUCCAAAUGGAAUCUUCAUUUGACUGACAUGAUCAAUCUCCAGCUUCUUGUCUUGCUGCAUGCAUGCCUCUUCCACAGCACUGUGCUAAGCUUCGGGGAUACAAGGAAGGCAAAAAAUACUCCCUCUCUUAAGCAGCCUCAUGAAGGAAACAAUAUGCAAAUGGUAGGUACAAACAAGAAAUGCAUAAGAUAAACAGUAAGUCAACAAAUGGAAGACAUUAGAGUCAGGAAGGAUUGGAAAAGACUUCUUGCAGAAGAUGAGAUUUCAGCUCUGACUUAAAGGAAUCCACGGAAGUCCCAUGAGGAGGGAGAGAGGACUAGGCAUGAGGAAGAGCCAGUGAAAAUAUUUGGUCAGGAGAUGAAAUGUUUCAUGCAAGGAACAGCCAGUAGGCCAAUGACACCAGAUCAUAGUGUAUGUGGAAGGGAGAAAGGUGUAAGAAGACUGGAAAUGUAGGAAGGGGCCAGGAUUAGAAGGGCUUUGGACUUUCAAUUGGAUUCUGAAGGUAAUGGGGAGGCACUGGCAUUUUACUGAAUAGGGAGUGAUAUUGUCAGAGCUGUGUUUUGGGAAGAUCACCUUGACGGCUUUAAGGAGGAUGAAUUGGAGUGAGAUGAGUCUUCAGGAAAGAAGACCAAUUAGCAGACUGUGAGAAGAUAAGGGCCUUCCUGCACCAGGGUGAUAUGCCAGUGUGUCUGGGGAGAGAAGUGGUCAUAUAUGAGAGAAGCCACAAAAGUGGGAACAAGAGGAUUUGGCCACUUCUCUGGUCUUCA